AUUGAACGCUGGCGGCAGGCCUAACACAUGCAAGUCGAACGGUAGCACAGAGAGCUUGCUCUCGGGUGACGAGUGGCGGACGGGUGAGUAAUGUCUGGGAAACUGCCCGAUGGAGGGGGAUAACUACUGGAAACGGUAGCUAAUACCGCAUAAUGUCGCAAGACCAAAGAGGGGGACCUUCGGGCCUCUUGCCAUCGGAUGUGCCCAGAUGGGAUUAGCUUGUUGGUGAGGUAAUGGCUCACCAAGGCGACGAUCCCUAGCUGGUCUGAGAGGAUGACCAGCCACACUGGAACUGAGACACGGUCCAGACUCCUACGGGAGGCAGCAGUGGGGAAUAUUGCACAAAGGGCGCAAGCCUGAUGCAGCCAUGCCGCGUGUGUGAAGAAGGCCUUCGGGUUGUAAAGCACUUUCAGCGGGGAGGAAGGCAAUGCGGUUAAUAACCGUGUUGAUUGACGUUACCCGCAGAAGAAGCACCGGCUAACUCCGUG
This 488-nucleotide ribosomal RNA is filed under the name uncultured bacterium. RNAcentral describes it as "partial 16S ribosomal RNA". It matches the Rfam family "Bacterial small subunit ribosomal RNA", at positions 30 to 507 of the family's 1533-position model. The record is from RNAcentral.